RNAcentral lists this non-coding RNA (24 nucleotides) under Arabidopsis thaliana (thale cress). The record is from RNAcentral. Lineage: Eukaryota; Viridiplantae; Streptophyta; Magnoliopsida; Brassicales; Brassicaceae.
ACUCUAUUAGAUGCUGAUAAUUGU